GACGAACGCUGGCGGCGUGCUUAACACAUGCAAGUCGAACGGCAAGGCCCUGCUUUUGUGGGGUGCUCGAGUGGCGAACGGGUGAGUAACACGUGAGUAACCUGCCCUUGACUUUGGGAUAACUUCAGGAAACUGGGGCUAAUACCGGAUAGGAGCUCCUGCUGCAUGGUGGGGGUUGGAAAGUUUCGGCGGUUGGGGAUGGACUCGCGGCUUAUCAGCUUGUUGGUGGGGUAGUGGCUUACCAAGGCUUUGACGGGUAGCCGGCAUGAGAGGGUGACCGGCCACAAUGGGACUGAGAUACGGCCCAGACUCCUACGGGAGGCAGCAGUGGGGAAUAUUGCACAAUGGGCGGAAGCCUGAUGCAGCAACGCCGCGUGCGGGAUGACGGCCUUCGGGUUGUAAACCGCUUUCGCCUGUGACGAAGCGUGAGUGACGGUAAUGGGUAAAGAAGCACCGGCUAACUACGUG
RNAcentral lists this ribosomal RNA (468 nucleotides) under uncultured bacterium. RNAcentral describes it as "partial 16S ribosomal RNA". It matches the Rfam family "Bacterial small subunit ribosomal RNA", at positions 28 to 507 of the family's 1533-position model. The record is from RNAcentral.